RNAcentral lists this transfer RNA (76 nucleotides) under Nevskia sp. Its description in RNAcentral is "tRNA-Thr". It matches the Rfam family "tRNA". Rfam says of the family: Transfer RNA (tRNA) molecules are approximately 80 nucleotides in length. Their secondary structure includes four short double-helical elements and three loops (D, anti-codon, and T loops). Lineage: Bacteria; Pseudomonadati; Pseudomonadota; Gammaproteobacteria; Nevskiales; Nevskiaceae. The record is from RNAcentral.
GCCGGUAUAGCUCAGUCGGUAGAGCAACGGUUUUGUAAACCGUGGGUCGCGGGUUCGAUUCCUGCUGCCGGCACCA